Lathyrus oleraceus (garden pea) is the source of this 3853-nucleotide RNA transcript. RefSeq lists it as uncharacterized. NCBI's taxonomy places the organism in Eukaryota, Viridiplantae, Streptophyta, Magnoliopsida, Fabales, Fabaceae. The record is from RefSeq and is a predicted model, not a curated record. The transcript is spliced from 3 exons.
CUAACCUGGAAAAGAUAUUGAUCAAGUCAUCUCCUUGUUCAACGUGUGAGCUGCAACAAUAACGUGGAAACGCAGAAAGGAAGAGAAAACGCGCUCUGGAGAAAGCUCUUGCCACGAUGUGAUUCGCUCUUCUUGUCAACAUCAUCAAUGGAAUUCGAUUCUUGGUUUAAACAAGAAGAAAAUGAAUCACAACAAUGUGUACGCAACAUCAAGAACUUGAUAAUAGCUUCUCAAAAUCGCUUCUUACAAACGCCCCGAACACCACAACUCAGCUUCAAUGCCCUCCGACGGUGCUCAACUUUGAAUUGAUUCCGGAAACGCGAAAAACAACGAAAAAACAAAGGGAAAAUACACAUAAUCUAGCUCGAAGCACUUACCAGAUCGAUGUCGACUUCGCAGUUAAUGGAAUGAUGGCCUGCUACGCUGCUACACUAUUACUCAUUGUUUUGCUUGGAUGAAAUUGUUCAGUCUUGUCUGUGUUGCUCUGUCGCGGCGGGAUUUUUGAAUGUAAGAUAUUGGGUUAUCUUGACUCAAUUGAAUCACUAAAACAAGAGUUACCACCGAACUUUAUUGUAUCCAAAGACAUGGAAAGUGAAAAUAUCGAUAAAAUCCUAAGAAAGAGAUCUAGGUAAGCAAGUCGGUUAUGCAAAUGGAAGGUGUUAGGCACCCUUCACAUCCUUGGUACUCCAAGGGAACCAUUGAUCAUAUCUGUUGUUUGCCUUAUUAUGAGUAUCGAAAGGUGAGUGGGUUUAAAACAAGAAAAGGAAAGGGAGAGGUUGUAUUUUUUAUUAUGCUUGCAAAGAUUUGUUUGAACAUCCCAUGCCUACGUACCCCCCAAGUGCAAUGAAGGAUCAAAGUUUUGUAGUUCACCUAAAAGGUUGUUUUGUUUGUUGGUUGAUUUUAUUUGAGAAAGUGAUAAUAGGCCUUCCCACUUAAGAUAAUGUUCAUUAUACAUCAUUUUGUUCUUGCUUGCUCUUUUGUUAUCCACCCUUGUGGCCGGUUAAUUGCGAGGCUAAAAGACACUCGGCUUACAACACUGGUUGGGUGCUUGGUAUAUGGACCAAGUAAGUGCGGGGGUUAAACGUAAAGUGAAGUUUGUGUUUUUUAAUCUUUGAUUAAGUUGAUUCCUUUAUUAGGUAUUUUACAAAGUGUUUUGACAUGCAAAAAGGGUGGUUUUCUAAGUUAUGGACAAAGGAUGGUGGAAAGUUUUUCAUGCAAAAAAUUAACUUUAGUUUGAAUGGUUGGUUUUAGUUUAAGGCAUUAAAGCAUACAACCUCUAACCUAUCCCUCAUACAAAGUACCAUACCCCUAUCUAAAUAUAGUAUCCAUAGUAUCCUUAUUACAUCACUUUGAAAAGCAAGAAAGAUAAACUAGUCCUAAGGUGAUAUUUCCCCUCCACACAUGGAAUUUCAAAGACAAAAGGAAAUGUGAAAGAAACUAAUCAAAUGAAGAGAUAAGGCAUCUCUUAGUCUCUUGCUGGUAUCACAUGAUUUGGAAUGGCUCUUCCUCGUUGCAAUUUUCUUUUUCAUCAUGUAUGGAUGUAAUACUCUCGAAUGUAACAAGAAGAGAAAUAAUGCUAAUACAAUGACUUAACAAAUUUUAAACUAUAACAUAUAAUCUAAAUUGUUAGUAAACUUCAAAAGAUGAAAUGGAGAAGUGUGAUUCCAGAAUGACAUAUAUUUUUUUGUAUAUUUUUCUCAUGUAAGGAAGAGCACAUUUGAACAUGGUUAUCAAGGCACGUCACAAAUGGAAUGCAAACUAAACAUGCUUUCUAGACAAAAUGAAAUGAAAUGGAAAAAGAUCAAAAUGCAAAAACACUUAACAUAUGAAAUGAUACAUAGUGAGAUCAGAAUCAAAUAUAAUUGAGACACAUCAUUAAUCAUGCAAAUUGACAAAAUGGGAGUCAAAAUAAGGCAUGCUAGCAAGGUAUAAACCCUAAUCUACAACAUGCUUGAACAUUAGACCAAAAGUGCAAGAUGUAAACAUGAUAUCAAAAACAUUUGGGAAGAUGAAAUGAAACAAAAUAUAACCAUAUAUCAUUUAUGAACCAAUUUAAAACACUUAGGAUUUUCAAACUUUGGAAAUGAAUGAAUAAUGAACCCUAUGUUCAAACUAAAUGAAAGAUGCUUCAAAAUAGAAAGCUAAAAAGAAGAGAAGUGUAACCUAUUGCAUGAGGAUCAUUCACAAACAUUUUGGGAUUUUUAUCAAGUAAUUUAAAAUUACUAUGAUUUAAAUACAUUACAAAUAAUACCUAAAAGGAGAAAAAGAUUUUUUAUUUUCUAAUGGUCAGAAAAAUAAACAUAAAUCAUAUUAUGGAAGAGAAAAAUAAUCCCGACAACUUUCAUGUUGGACAUUUUUUCAAAUUCCAAACGGGAUGAGAAAUAUUAAAUAAACAAAAUAAAUAGAAAAAAUAGAAAAAAUAAUAAAAAUUCAAUCCAGUGGAAAUUAGGGGGACAAGGCCUAUGGUAAGCCAGCGCGCAGAUCAAUCCAUUCCCCUUAUUAAUAAGGUGGCUCAGUGUGAGCCACCAGAUCCAAUGAAGACACACCAUAGCGCGUGUUUCUUAAAGCAUAGGAACAAAAACAAAUUCAAAUUUUGGAGGGACCACACGUCACACUCCCAUUGGUCCAAUUUGAAUUUUUGGAAGGAGGGGCGUGUGGUCGCCUGAGAAGACGACCAGGCAACCAUGGGCGGUGGCCGGUUUCUGGAAAAAUGUAAAAAGCUUCAAAAUGAAAAACUCAAAAGAGCAAAGUUGCUCAAAAUUUUAUGGCGAGCAAGAUGAUAGGAUCCAAAAUUAUUUAUGAACAACCAACAAUGCAAAUCAAAGUUGGUACCAAAAUGAAACCCUGGACUACAAAUUACAAUUAAAUGCUACUCAAGUCAUGAAAUGCAAUUAAAUGGCAUAGUGAUCAUCAGGAACAAAUUUCCAACAACAUGGCAUCAAGAAAUUCACAAUUUGGUUCAAGUUAUAUACCUCUUGAAGAUCACUCGAAUGACUGACUUUAAAGCAAUGGUUCUCCCUCCACAUGUCAUUAUUUUGCUUGCUUCAAGUUGUCACACCUUCACCAAACUUCAGAGAACCUUGUUGAGCUAAUGGGGAAGCUUGAGUAUGCUCGAGUUUGGAAAACCUAUUCAAAGUUCAAAGGUUCAAAUGUAAAAUAUGCAGAGGUUCAAUGGCUAUCUAAGCUUAGAAAUAAUAGUGUAGUAGCCUCUAUUUAUAGAGGGGAAAUGUGUUGGUCAUUUGCUAAAUGAUUUCAAUUAGGUUAGAGGGAAAAUGUAGUUUUGAUUAAUCUUGCCAACCAAGUUUGGUGAGUGUUAGGGACCAAUUAGUACUACUUUUUAUAUCAUUUUAUUGGUCCCUUUUUCCAAGUUUUGAUGUAAUUACACACUUUUAUUCUCACUAUUUUGUAUAAAUGCAAUUAGGUUUAAUUUAUUUUGUUUUGAAUAGUUAUUUCACAUAUAUGUUAGUUUUGUAGAAUUUUUGGAUGAGAGAGCUUUUGGAAUGCAACAUUAUAAUAUGGAAAAGGUGUUGAAUGCAAUGUGGGGGCCCAAUUUUGGAAGAAUACCACUUGGAAGAUUUUGGAUGAAGCUUGCAAAGCAAGGAAGCUGAGAUAGCUUCAGUUCGCGCCGCGAAGGCUGCGAAUCCAGCAAGCUGAUUUUGGGCCAAGGGUGCUGUUUUUAAUGAUCAGCUGUUUUUGCCAUUUUGGUGUCUGCCUUGGAAUAGCUUUUCUGCCUUAGAUGGGAAAAGAUCAAAUGAGGAAAUGUCAACCCUUUUUAGAAAUUUAGAAUGGAAAUUGAUAUGUAUUCCAUUAUUCAUUAUUAUUCAAAAAUUGAGACAUUGAGAUUUUUUGUAAG